UACGUAGGGUGCGAGCGUUAAUCGGAAUUACUGGGCGUAAAGCGUGCGCAGGCGGCUUUGCAAGACAGAUGUGAAAUCCCCGGGCUCAACCUGGGAACUGCAUUUGUGACUGCAAGGCUAGAGUACGGCAGAGGGGGAUGGAAUUCCGCGUGUAGCAGUGAAAUGCGUAGAUAUGCGGAGGAACACCAAUGGCGAAGGCAAUCCCCCGGGCCUGUACUGACGCUCAUGCACGAAAGCGUGGGGAGCAAACAGG
RNAcentral lists this ribosomal RNA (253 nucleotides) under uncultured bacterium. RNAcentral describes it as "partial 16S ribosomal RNA". It matches the Rfam family "Bacterial small subunit ribosomal RNA", at positions 524 to 776 of the family's 1533-position model. The record is from RNAcentral.